Molecule: long non-coding RNA, 268 nt
Filed under: Lathyrus oleraceus (garden pea)
Lineage: Eukaryota; Viridiplantae; Streptophyta; Magnoliopsida; Fabales; Fabaceae
Description: Pisum sativum (pea) long non-coding RNA (PSAT_LNC036876)
Source: RNAcentral
AUCUUCUAACAUAUUAAGAAAUCCAGAAAUUUUUAUUUUUAUUUUUAUUUUUUAUUUCAAGUAAUUAAUUAUUUAGUAUUGUCAUACCCCAAAAUUUUCCCUCCCCUUUUCAUUUCUACCCAACUUUUGGUUUGAGAUUCCAUCUGAAUAUCCAUGACAUCAUAGUACAUCCAUUUCCAUUGAUAAACUCAAAGUCAUAGGUUCAAGGGCCUUGAUCACACAAAUCAUGGAAGAAGGGUUGAGUCCCCACAUUAAGUUUCAUUUUAAU